Molecule: long non-coding RNA, 2418 nt
Organism: Epinephelus moara (kelp grouper)
Lineage: Eukaryota; Metazoa; Chordata; Actinopteri; Perciformes; Serranidae
Exons: 2
Source: RefSeq, a predicted model, not a curated record
UUUGUUUGAUACUUUAACAACAAGUUUGUCUUUAGUCUCUUUAGGGUUUGUUUCUUGCUUUGUGAUGUUUGUAGUCGUCGUUCACUUCUUAUUUCAGGAGAAAGUUUGAAGACAAGUUGACGUGUUGUUGGAUUAUUGAUUUAUAUGAUAAACAGCUGAUGUUCUUUUUCUUUCUUCAGCCGUCAGAAAACAAAUCAGUGUAAAGUCACACACAUCACACUAAUAUUUCCUCUGGAACCUUUAAAACUUCAAGGUUUAGCUUUAGUGUACGACAGGAUUGCACAAUGAAAUGCAGUCACCAUUUACAGCUGGCUCUGAUAUCAAGAUUAAUCUUUUACUGGACAGUUUAAUAACCUCUGUGGACUUUGGGCUCCUUACCAAGGUUCAAGGUUCAGCGUUACUGCCAGUAUGCAACAGGAUUGCUGUUCUAUAAAACAGUCUCACAGAUAUCACUGAUGCUCAGUAGAUAUGUAGCAAAUAUGUUCUGGGUGGUUUAAAUGGCCUGCUGCAGAGCUCUCCUGUCCUGGGCCGUGUACAUCUCACACCAGUUUGUAAUGGUCCCAGUCAGGAUUCAUCUAUUGCUCCUCUGUAGAAGAAAACAAGAACUUCACAUUGUAGUUUCCCUUAACCAGGGUAGAGAUGUGUGAUGACCAUGACAGGUUCUCUGUGACGCUAAAACUGUUCACCUGCUCCACCUCAGCUCCACUGAUGUAGACAGGGCUGUGUGUCUUCACCCUAAAGUCAAUUAUAAGUACAUUGUUCUCUGUGAACCAUCCUGCAUGAUUUUUAGCUCCCUCAUUGUUGUUUGAAAUCUGUUCCACAGCAUUUAUUUAGCUGACACAUUUAUCCAAAGAGACUUACAGUGGGAGCAUUUAACCCUGUGGAUACAACCCCGCAAACUGCAAGUACAUCAGCUUCAUCAAAUACGCUGAACUGCUUCAAGCUCAACAUCCAGAAACACUGAGACACAGAGAAACAGGACAUCAGUCGAUGCACCUAAAAUAUUGUGAAAACUUGUCACUUGUCAGCCUGCAGGGUUUUUUCAAUGUAAAAAGAAACCUUUGAGAUCAAGGUGUCACUCAAAGGUUUCAGGAGGAUUUGCCAAACUGGUUGUAGAUUUGUGAUGUGCCAGUUUUCUUUGACAUAUCUGGCACUCGACUUUUUGGGAAUCAUCUUUACGAAUUUAGAAACUAAUCCAGACACUUGACAUCUUGGACACUUUGCUAGCGUGUCUGUAAGCGUGUCACAUGUGGUCAGACUGUCCCAGUUUCAGUAGUGCUGCACUGCUGGGGGCUGAUGUUACAUGAGAGCACGUCAGAGUCACAAAACUAUCACUAAGUUUAAAUGUCCCUGUCUGAGAAGAACUUAUAUUAAUGAAUGCUUAUCCCUAAGAUAUAAUGUUGAGUAACUGUUUCUACAUUUAUUGGUAUUUGGGGUUUUUAGUUACCAUGGCAACAGCUACAGCUGCAAACACUGGGGUCAGCCCUAGAGACAGUGUUGCCCUGGAUUCAGUGAGUAAGCUUUAGUGUUACACUUUGUGGAAGUGUGUCCAUUCACAGUGAGCUGAGUGAUGUGUGAGCAGCUCCUGUUUGCAGUGGACUCACGGAUGUGUCACUGGUUACUGUCAUACUGUGUGCAGUGUCAUACAGAGUGCAGCGUUUGUAAAGAGGAAGAAAGUGUUAAACAUAUUUUUAUGAAAUGUCAAAAGUAUGAGAGGGAAAGAGAAAAAUUAAAAAGAAAUAGUGAGGAAAUAGGGAUGAAAUUUAGCAUUAAAGAAAUGUUAGAUAAGCCCUCGACAGAUAGAAUAAUGAGUAGAGUACUUGAGUAUCUUAGAAGUACAGGACUAGAUAAACGGGUAUGAGUGUUUGUUUUAUUAUGCAAAAUGUAGUCUGUAAGCCUAUACAGUAACCACACAGACCGAAGGGUGGCGCUAAUGCACUGUCAUAGUUUGCUACUGCCGUUAAAGAAGAAGAAGAAGAAGAAGAAGAAGAAGAAGAAGAAGAAGAAGAAAGAACAAUGGCAGAUCGUAUCCAGACUGUAAGUGUCCUUACAGUCUGGAUGCAGCAUAGUCUGCUGCACAUAGUUAUAUUAUUACCCGGGGAGAUGAACUAAGCAAUGGAAAUGCUGCUGCUGCCCAUAUUUGGACGUCCCAGCUCGGCUGAUUAGGAGCACCUGGGUCCGGUGUUCCAUACGACUUUAGGGACCCAACCCCCAGCGCAGUUCACUCUCCCAGAUCCCUGCCAGCGCCUGCACGUUUGGUUUCUUUGUCUUUUGGUUUUGUACCAACAUGACACUCACACAAACCCUCAACCACACUUACACAACUGAUCAUACUGACAAACACACCUCGUCUAUUUGGUCCUCUGUUCUAAAUCGUUUCCUUUGAAGAAAAGAAAUAAAUUGUUUUAUUUAUCGGCA